CAGAAUUCUCAUCCUUCAAUCAAGAGGAUCUUCUUAUCUAAGGACCCAGUGUUGACAAGAUCAGCAAGAAUUGUGGCCAGAGAUGCUAGGAGUUGAACAGGGGCUAUGGAGGCUUUCCUCAAAGAGCAGUUGCACGGAAUGUAGUUUUAUUGAUCCUUAUCCUCAUUACCCUCAAGCCAUGAAGGAAGGAAUUUUGAGUAAGGGCAAGGCCAUUUUACCACUAAACAUAUUUCAACUCCAAUGAAAGAAAC
This 251-nucleotide long non-coding RNA is filed under the name Fukomys damarensis (Damara mole-rat). RNAcentral describes it as "lncRNA (ENSFDAG00000023108.1)". Lineage: Eukaryota; Metazoa; Chordata; Mammalia; Rodentia; Bathyergidae. The record is from RNAcentral.